AAAGGAUUUGCCCCCUUCUCCUUUAAUUUUUUUUUUUAAAAAGUCAUCUCCUUUAAUUUUUCCCUUUCUCUUUUAAUUUUUAUCCUUUUUAAAGUAGAUUUGUCCCUUCCAACUUAUUGCUACUGAUAAACAGCUAGAAACAUGUAUUAAAAUCUAAUUGUGAGUUUUCAAAUGUGAUUGGAGUUAGUGAUCUUGCUGAGAAAAUAAUAAAAACAAUAAAGCUUAUUUUUGUACAUGUUAGUUUACAAGUUUAUAUAAUCUUAUCUAUUGCAACAUCUAUUGAAAGUGCGUUUUCUGAUAUAAAAAUUCUGAAUGAUUGGUUACGUAAUAAAAUUGGAGAUCAAUAAAUGGUCAAUUGUUUGAUCACAUAUAUUGAUAGGAUAUUAAGAUUGAUAACGAAACUGUAAUGCAACGUGAAAACUCAUAAAAUACAAC
RNAcentral lists this unclassified non-coding RNA (435 nucleotides) under Hevea brasiliensis (rubber tree). Lineage: Eukaryota; Viridiplantae; Streptophyta; Magnoliopsida; Malpighiales; Euphorbiaceae. The record is from RNAcentral.